AUUGAACGCUGGCGGCAGGCCUAACACAUGCAAGUCGAACGGUAACAGGAAGCAGCUUGCUGCUUCGCUGACGAGUGGCGGACGGGUGAGUAAUGUCUGGGAAACUGCCUGAUGGAGGGGGAUAACUACUGGAAACGGUAGCUAAUACCGCAUAACGUCGCAAGACCAAAGAGGGGGACCUUAGGGCCUCUUGCCAUCGGAUGUGCCCAGAUGGGAUUAGCUAGUAGGUGGGGUAACGGCUCACCUAGGCGACGAUCCCUAGCUGGUCUGAGAGGAUGACCAGCCACACUGGAACUGAGACACGGUCCAGACUCCUACGGGAGGCAGCAGUGGGGAAUAUUGCACAAUGGGCGCAAGCCUGAUGCAGCCAUGCCGCGUGUAUGAAGAAGGACUUCGGGUUGUAAAGUACUUUCAGCGGGGAGGAAGGGAGUAAAGUUAAUACCUUUGCUCAUUGACGUUACCCGCAGAAGAAGCACCGGCUAACUCCGUG
This 490-nucleotide ribosomal RNA is filed under the name uncultured bacterium. Its description in RNAcentral is "partial 16S ribosomal RNA". It matches the Rfam family "Bacterial small subunit ribosomal RNA", at positions 30 to 507 of the family's 1533-position model. The record is from RNAcentral.